AAAAAAAAAACCGAGUUCGUCGUUCCCGAAAAGCUCAUAAGCUCCAAAACCCUAAAAAAGGGUGAGAUUCUCCCCUCCUAUCCCCCUCUCCGCUCCGCUUCGUCCUCUUCUCCUCCGAAUAAGUUUCGAAACCCUCCUCGCAUGUGCAAGGACGAGGUCCUAAACCCUAAGAUCAAAGAUCGCAAGAGAAAGUAACUCCAAUGACAAUGUUGGAAUAGAGCGCUUUGAUCGCCUUAUAGGUUUCUUGUGGAUAUUUUUCAAUGCACCUCCAUCAUAAUUAGGUGUGUUUGAUCAACAGGUGUUAAACAGAACAAGCUGUUGAUCAAGUAACAAAGCCCAGCACAAUUUGCAAUUGGUGGUGCCCAAGAAACAAGAUUGAGACAUGUCUUAGAGAACAAAUUAUCCUAAGAACAUAUUCUCCAAAUACUGGUUUUCUACAUCACACCCUGAGCAACAGUAGCAUCAGAAUCACUCUUAAGCAUCAGAGGAGAGGAAAAGCAUGAUGUAGCUUUGAGAUGGAAAAGUAUAAGUGGCGAGCCUAGUCAAGUUACACUAUUGAUUGGGGGAUCUGAGUCAGGAACCUCAUACUUGAUCAGUGGCCAUUAGGCCCAACAAAGCAUUUAUUAGUACUAUUAUAUAUGGAUGGAUGCACCAUGGAAAUAAAUUUACCACUAGUUCAGGAAAAGAGAAAAUGACGAUGCAUGCUCUUUUAAAGGUCGCGACUUAUUGUUGAUGUAUUGUUAUUGUUGAUGUAUUGAUAAAUUUAUAUGGUAAU
Ananas comosus (pineapple) is the source of this 775-nucleotide long non-coding RNA. RefSeq lists it as uncharacterized. The record is from RefSeq and is a predicted model, not a curated record. The transcript is spliced from 4 exons. Lineage: Eukaryota; Viridiplantae; Streptophyta; Magnoliopsida; Poales; Bromeliaceae.